CUCGAACCAUUAUGAGAGGUACAGCCUGCCCAGUGACCUAGUGUUCAACGGCCGCGGUAUCCUAACCGUGCGAAGGUAGCGUAAUCACUUGUUCUUUAAAUGAGGACUAGUAUGAAUGGCAUCACGAGGGUUAUUCUGUCUCCUUUUUCCAAUCAGUGAAACUAAUCUCUCCGUGAAGAAGCGAGGAUUAUUUUAUAAGACGAGAAGACCCUAUGGAGCUUUAAACUAACCAGCAUUUGCUAUAUAACAUAAUUUUUCAGAAACCUAAAAAACAACUUAGCUUUUUGACUGUAAGUUUUCGAUUGGGGUGAUUACGGAACAAAAUAUAACCUCCGUGCCGAAAGGACUUUUCCUGAGCCAAAAGUGACAACCUUAAGCACUAAAAAAUUAACGAUUAUUGACCCAAUAAUUUGAUCAACGAAC
This 423-nucleotide ribosomal RNA is filed under the name Boana cinerascens group sp. ABGD cluster 23. Its description in RNAcentral is "partial large subunit ribosomal RNA". It matches the Rfam family "Bacterial large subunit ribosomal RNA", at positions 1834 to 2457 of the family's 2925-position model. The record is from RNAcentral. Lineage: Eukaryota; Metazoa; Chordata; Amphibia; Anura; Hylidae.